UGGGGGAUAUUGCACAAUGGGCGAAAGCCUGAUGCAGCGACGCCGCGUGGGGGAUGAAGGCCUUCGGGUUGUAAACUUCUUUUGCUCUGAACAAGGCGCACCAUGGGGUGUGUUGAGUGUAGGGGUUGAUUAGCGCCGGCUAACUACGUGCCAGCAGCCGCGGUAAUACGUAGGGCGCGAGCGUUGUCCGGAAUUAUUGGGCGUAAAGGGCUUGUAGGUGGCUGGUUGCGUCUGUCGUGAAAGCUCAUGGCUUAACUGUGGGUUUGCGGUGGGUACGGGCUGGCUUGAGUGCAGUAGGGGAGGCUGGAAUUCCUGGUGUAGCGGUGGAAUGCGCAGAUAUCAGGAGGAAUACCGGUGGCGAAGGCGGGUCUCUGGGCUGUUACUGACACUGAGGAGCGAAAGCAUGGUGAGCGAACAGG
RNAcentral lists this ribosomal RNA (419 nucleotides) under bacterium. RNAcentral's name for it is "partial 16S ribosomal RNA". It matches the Rfam family "Bacterial small subunit ribosomal RNA", at positions 355 to 776 of the family's 1533-position model. The record is from RNAcentral.